CGGAGAGGCUGUCCAAAAUAAAGACAAUGUUGGAUAACACCUCCCACCCACUCCAUGACAUGCUGGUCAGUCACAGGAGCACGUUCAGUGAGAGACUGAGAUUACCGAAAAGCACCACUGAAUGACACAGGAAAUCAUUCCUGCCUGUGGCCAUCUCACUGUACAACGCAUCCACUUAACACACUGUUUACUGCCACAACUACACGGUUCUUUCCCGCUAUUUAUUAUUGUGACUUAUAGAUCUAUAGAUAUAUAGAGAUAUAGAUAGAUAUAGAUAGUUAUAGAUAGAUAUAUAGUUAUUGAUAGAUCUAUAGAUAUAGAGAGAGAGAGAGAUAGAUGGAUAGAUAUAUAUAUAUUUUAGUACUAUUCUUAGUUAGCGUGUUGUCUGUUUUGUUAAUGUUGGUGUAUAAUGGAGCACUGUAACAAAGAAAUAAUUUCCCCCAGGGAUCAAUAAAGUAUUCUGAUUCUGUUCAUCUGGAAUGAUGAUGGAGUCUUGAGCAAUUUGGGCUUUCAGGUAUUUCUUGCACCUUUCUGAGGGAAGAGGGGCUCCAGAACUGUCAUCACCUUCUGCCUCACUGAGGGCCACAACAGUGAUAGCACGCAGUCCCACUGACAUAUCAUCUUGAUGCAGUGCGCAACAUCAACCCUGAUAAAACAUGGGGGGAGUUUGGCAGACUGGGUUCCAAGAAGGACAUGAAAGCAUUCAUUAAGGUAGGACUUCAGAUCAGGAUGAGGAGUGAAAGCCUUGACCAGAGCUCCCAGAAUUGCCAGAGAAAAGUCACUCACAGCUUCCUUUGGCACAGAGUGGCCAAAUUUGGAAGGUGGCUUGGCUCAGGAUCUCCAACAUCCAUCAGAUCUGCUGCCUUCGCUGACCUCCAUACAGCCGGUUCCAUUCUGCCCUCUCACAGCUCUUUAGAGAUCUGUUCACGCAGGUUUCCAGACAUGAACCGCUUGGAGUGGCCAGUGUGCAGGGAGAGAUCUGUAUUUCUCAUGAAACACUGGAGCACCAUUGGACUAUUAAUUGCUGGCUGUCUGUCACAUGACAUUUCGAACUGGCCAUGACACUCCUUACAGUCGCCUCUGAUGUCCAGAUAAUUAUUGUUGACAGUUGGAUGGACCUUUGCUCUUCGAAACACAAGUGUACAUGUAUUUUUGAUCUUCUUCCAUAUAAGAUCGUUGAUGAUAUGAGUCCAAGUGCCAGGUUUCAAAAUUGUGUAUUCCCUUUUUUGGGUAGGAGAAAACUUGUCAUUGUAUUCAACCUUUUCAGGAAUAAAUUUAACCCAGUCCUCAAAAGGGACUUCUAGUUCAGAAGCUUGACAGUUUUCUUGUCCAGGAGAAAUGCAAUGUGAAUCUAACUCUCCUUCACUAUUACUUUCCUGAUCACUGAUUUCCAAAGCUGACCAGAUGUUGUGUCUAUUUAGCUUCACAAAAGUGUACAGGGCCUUUGCUGACAUCUUGUCUUCUAGCUGCUGACUCAGCUCUUUCCAGACUGAUGCAGCUGGAGUGGCUAUUUUGCCAUUUCGGACUAUGGCCUCUUUUGAAUUGCAAAGAAUUGCAAAAAUGGAAACCUUGUCUACAGAUGGCUUUCGAGGCAUCUAAAUAAAAAAAACACACAAUGAUUAUGAUGGAGGAAAAACGUGAUUUCUGACCUAUAUAUACAGCCAGGAGCAACCCCUCCCCCAAGUUCUCCACCAAUCUACACUUUCAUAUUUUGUUGAAUUAUUGUUUUUAAGAUGGAGCUAUUGAAUUUUUCAGUUUAUUAAAUUGAGUCUGAGUGUUUAACCCAUUAACAUGUACUGUACAGCACUUUAAUCCAGUGUGCUACAUGUUUUUAAAGUGCUUUAGAAACUUUUUUUCUUGGACAGUUUUGAAAAUGUUUAACAUGGAAAAAAAAAUCCCUUUGAUCCAG
This is a long non-coding RNA of Oreochromis aureus, 1909 nucleotides long. The record is from Ensembl. Lineage: Eukaryota; Metazoa; Chordata; Actinopteri; Cichliformes; Cichlidae.